Long non-coding RNA from Pteropus alecto (black flying fox), 1450 nucleotides. RefSeq lists it as uncharacterized. The record is from RefSeq and is a predicted model, not a curated record. Lineage: Eukaryota; Metazoa; Chordata; Mammalia; Chiroptera; Pteropodidae. The transcript is spliced from 3 exons.
CUGGAAGUUCUCAUGGAUAAUUCCUGCUUAUCCUUCAGUUUUCAGCUUCAUGGUCACCUCCUCCAGGAGGUUUUCCUGUCCUCCCACAAAUCUGGCCUUUCACCUGCAGACACGAAGAUGUCAGUUCCUUAACCAACCACCAGGUGCCAUUUGCAGAGAUAUAUGCAUGGGAAGUGGAGGGGAGAGUGCUGAAGAAGACCGUUCUGGCUUGCCUAGCAGGUUUCCUCGGCUGCCUCCCAGACAAGCAGAGAAGAGACAGGUCUGUGGCUUUCCCCGGCAUCUACUGGAGUUUCCUGGAGAGGUGCAGAUUCCAACCCUAUCGACACGCUAGAACCAAGCAUUGGCUCCAGAGCAGUAACCCUGCAGCCAGCACAGGUGGUUUCCAGCAAGGCCAACCCUCUUGCCCCCUACAUCAGAGAUGGACCACUCAGGACCUCCCCACACCUUUCCUGGGAGAGAAGCAGCUGUGUUGUAAUUAAAAUUCUCCCAGGAAGGAAAUUUCAUUCUGGCAGCUGAAUGAAAUUUUCCACAUCUCACAAUCUUUGUCAGGAAAUUUAGAUUGCACAGAUUUUCUGGAGUCUGUUCCAUGCCAGUCACAUUUACCUUUACGUUGUCUCAGGUGAUCCUUAUCACAGCCCUGCAGGGUUGGGAGGGCAGGACUAUACCAAUUUUAGAAACUAGGAAUCUGAGGCUCAGGUGCUUUGGGUGAGUCAGUUCCCCACAGGUAGUAGCUCCUAAGGGUCAGAGCUGGGAUUUAAACCCUUUGAUCUCAAGUCCUGCAUCCUGUCUACCUGGUAAUUGGCCACAGCUCCAUCAAUAGUGCAGUCACUUUCCUCUGUGGAUGAAGCAAACAGUUCUGCAGCACUUGCCUGACAAACUCUGCAGCCACUUCCCUGAGCCAGGGACUAGCCAGAAAUCCAAUGGGGGAGGCCUGGUGUCACUCUGCCCAUGCCCCUCCAACCUGCCACAGGCCCGCCCCUUAGAGUAGAAGAUCUGGAAGAUUCCUCAGUCCUUGUCAUCCUGUCUGUCUCUACUCCUUCUGCUUUGGUCUUGAAAUGUUGAGUUGAUUAUAUUUUGUGCUCAAUCACGAGAAAUAAUCAAUUCAUAAUUAAGAGCAUCUCCCAGCUCUUUCCAAGCUUUCCUCAGCACCCCUCUCCAAGAGUUUAGCCACUCCAUUUCCUCCUACCACUACCCUCUUGCCUUUCCCUCCCACCUGCCUUUCGAGAAUGGAAUUGUUUUAAUGAGAUGUCUCUGUUACAAAUGACCGGUUUGUAGUAAUUAUAUUUAGUGUGGCAAUUGUGGUUUAAAAAUGAUUUAAAGAGGUGAAGGCUCCAAUUUAUUAGGUGUCAAAUUUCCUGUGAACUUUUACCUGGAAGCCGCUGCUUAGACACGGAGAGGGCCAUCUCUGCCACCCUGGGCUGAGCAGUAGUCCUGAAUUAUUGAUGGUUUG